AACACAUGCAAGUCGAACGGGCGUAGCAAUACGUCAGUGGCAGACGGGUGAGUAACACGUGGGAACGUACCUCUUGGUUCGGAACAACACAGGGAAACUUGUGCUAAUACCGGAUAAGCCCUUACGGGGAAAGAUUUAUCGCCGAAAGAUCGGCCCGCGUCUGAUUAGCUAGUUGGUGGGGUAAUGGCCCACCAAGGCGACGAUCUUUAGCUGGUCUGAGAGGAUGAUCAGCCACACUGGGNCUGAGACACGGCCCAGACUCCUACGGGAGGCAGCAGUGGGGAAUACUGGACAAUGGGCGAAAGCCUGAUCCAGCAAUGCUGCGUGAGUGAUGAAGGCCUUAGGGUUGUAAAGCUCUUUUACCCGGGAUGAUAAUGACAGUACCGGGAGAACAAGCUCCGGCUAACUCCGUGCCAGCAGCCGCGGUAAUUC
RNAcentral lists this ribosomal RNA (432 nucleotides) under uncultured soil bacterium. RNAcentral's name for it is "bacterial SSU rRNA". It matches the Rfam family "Bacterial small subunit ribosomal RNA", at positions 50 to 526 of the family's 1533-position model. The record is from RNAcentral.